Myotis lucifugus (little brown bat) is the source of this 69-nucleotide unclassified non-coding RNA. NCBI's taxonomy places the organism in Eukaryota, Metazoa, Chordata, Mammalia, Chiroptera, Vespertilionidae. The record is from Ensembl.
UAGAGGCAGUGGAGACAGGAAUGGAGCCAAGGCGGCAGAAGCGGGAGGCGGGAGCAGAGCCAGGGUACA